This 759-nucleotide ribosomal RNA is filed under the name uncultured bacterium. RNAcentral describes it as "bacterial SSU rRNA". It matches the Rfam family "Bacterial small subunit ribosomal RNA", at positions 60 to 829 of the family's 1533-position model. The record is from RNAcentral.
AGUCGAGCGGGGACACGGGGCUUCGGUUCCGUGUUCUAGCGGCGGACGGGUGAGUAACGCGUGAGCAAUCUGUCCCAGACAGGGGGAUAACAACUGGAAACAGUUGCUAAUACCGCAUAAGACCACGGCCUCGCAUGGGGCUGAGGUAAAAGUGGAAACACGGUUUGGGGUGAGUUCGCGUCCCAUUAGCUAGUUGGUGAGGUAACGGCCCACCAAGGCGACGAUGGGUAGCCGACCUGAGAGGGUGAUCGGCCACACUGGAACUGAGACACGGUCCAGACUCCUACGGGAGGCAGCAGUGGGGAAUAUUGGGCAAUGGGCGAAAGCCUGACCCAGCAACGCCGCGUGAGGGAUGAAUGUUUUCGGAUUGUAAACCUCUGUCCUCAGGGACGAAGGAAGUGACGGUACCUGAGGAGGAAGCCCCGGCUAACUACGUGCCAGCAGCCGCGGUAAUACGUAGGGGGCGAGCGUUGUCCGGAAUGACUGGGCGUAAGGGGCGCGUAGGCGGCUGUGUAAGUCUGGAGUGAAAGUCCUGCUUUUAAGGUGGGAAUUGCUUUGGAGACUGCAUGGCUUGAGUGCGGAAGAGGCAAGUGGAAUUCCCAGUGUAGCGGUGAAAUGCGUAGAGAUUGGGAAGAACACCAGUGGCGAAGGCGACUUGCUGGGCCGUAACUGACGCUGAGGCGCGAAAGCGUGGGGAGCGAACAGGAUUAGAUACCCUGGUAGUCCACGCCGUAAACGAUGAAUGCUAGGUGUAGGGGG